UGCUCAAUAACUAACUUAAUAUUUCAUUCAAUAGAAUUAUGGUGCAAAAGGAGCACUAACCCCACAGGUCUUAUGCUGACAAUGUGGACACAGAUAUAGGAAACUCUGAAGGCAGUUGUAAUAUUCACCUAGCAGGCUAAGCUAACACUAGACUACGUCGCCUUAGCGUUA
Long non-coding RNA from Etheostoma cragini (Arkansas darter), 171 nucleotides. RefSeq lists it as uncharacterized. The transcript has 3 exons. The record is from RefSeq and is a predicted model, not a curated record. NCBI's taxonomy places the organism in Eukaryota, Metazoa, Chordata, Actinopteri, Perciformes, Percidae.